CUCGUUAGUGGGAAGGUGUUUCACCUGUGCUGACUUGUCCAUCUCGUUAGUGUGCAGGUGUUUCACCUGUGCUGACUUGUCCAUCUCGUUAGUGUGCAGGUGUUUCACCUGUGCUGACUUGUCCAUCUCGUUAGUGGGAAGGUGUUUCACCUGUGCUGGCUUGUCCAUCUCGUUAGUGUGCAGGUGUUUCACCUGUGCUGGCUUGUCCAUCUCGUUAGU
This is a long non-coding RNA of Oncorhynchus keta (chum salmon), 219 nucleotides long. RefSeq lists it as uncharacterized. The transcript is spliced from 3 exons. The record is from RefSeq and is a predicted model, not a curated record. Lineage: Eukaryota; Metazoa; Chordata; Actinopteri; Salmoniformes; Salmonidae.